CCCAUUGAGUUUAAGCAUAUUAAUAAGUGGAGGAAAAGAAACCUACCAAGAUUCCACUAGUAACGGUGAACAAACCGGGAACUGCCCAGCGUGAGAAUCAAGCGGCCCCACUGCUCGAAUUGUAGUCUGUAGAAGCAUCCUCAGCGGCGAACUGGGCAUAAAUCCCCUGGAACAGGGCGCCUGAGAGGGUGAGAGCCCUGUCAUGCCCGGACCCUGCCGCACCACGAGGCGCUAUGGCGAGUCGGGUUGUUUGGGAAUGCAGCCCUAUUUGGGCGGUAAAUUCCGUUCAAGGCUAAAUACCGACGAGAGAAUAGAGAACAAGUGUCGCGAGGGAAAGAUGAAAAGGACUUUGAAAAGAGAGUCAAAAAGUGCUUGAAAUUGUUGGGAGGGAACCGGAUGGGGGCUGGCAGUGCCCCGCGGUUGGAUGCAAAACGUCCUCAUUGACAAUCUGUUACUCAACAUGCUGAGUGGACCGACGCGGGUCACCGUGGAGGGAGGAGCCCUGGUGAUCGCUCCCCCCCCGAGGGGAUGCCU
Molecule: non-coding RNA, 534 nt
Organism: Amborella trichopoda
Lineage: Eukaryota; Viridiplantae; Streptophyta; Magnoliopsida; Amborellales; Amborellaceae
Source: Rfam